AAACAGGUUUUUUUUAAAACCUAUCACAUCUUCAAUAAAAAAAUAU
This is a non-coding RNA of Nipponia nippon (crested ibis), 46 nucleotides long. Lineage: Eukaryota; Metazoa; Chordata; Aves; Pelecaniformes; Threskiornithidae. The record is from Rfam.